UACGUAGGGUGCGAGCGUUAAUCGGAAUUACUGGGCGUAAAGCGUGCGCAGGCGGUUCGUUAAGUCAGAUGUGAAAGCCCCGGGCUCAACCUGGGAACUGCAUUUGAAACUGGCGGGCUUGAGUGUGGCAGAGGGGGGUGGAAUUCCGCGUGUAGCAGUGAAAUGCGUAGAGAUGCGGAGGAACACCGAUGGCGAAGGCAGCCCCCUGGGCCAACACUGACGCUCAGGCACGAAAGCGUGGAGAGCAAACAGG
RNAcentral lists this ribosomal RNA (253 nucleotides) under uncultured bacterium. RNAcentral describes it as "partial 16S ribosomal RNA". It matches the Rfam family "Bacterial small subunit ribosomal RNA", at positions 524 to 776 of the family's 1533-position model. The record is from RNAcentral.